RNAcentral lists this ribosomal RNA (253 nucleotides) under uncultured bacterium. Its description in RNAcentral is "partial 16S ribosomal RNA". It matches the Rfam family "Bacterial small subunit ribosomal RNA", at positions 524 to 776 of the family's 1533-position model. The record is from RNAcentral.
UACGUAGGGUGCGAGCGUUAAUCGGAAUCACUGGGCGUAAAGCGCACGUAGGCGGACUCGCAGGUCAAUUGUGAAAUACCUGGGCUCAACCCGGGAACUGCAGUUGAAACCGCUUGUCUUGAAUACCUGAGAGGGUGGGGGAAUACCUGGUGGAGAAGUGAAAUUCGUAGAGAUCAGGUGGAACACCGGAGGCGAAGGCGCCUGCCUGGCAGUGUAUUGACGCUGAGGUGCGAAAGUGCGGGGAGCAAACAGG